AAUAUGGAAUUUGAUGAAAAUACCAAAAAUACCCUUCAGUGGCAAGUUACCGUGCAAUUCAAUCCUUUAAUCAAACUGCAUCCCGAAUAUAUAUAUGAGUAUGAAUAUAUGUCAAACUCAAUUUCAUAUUCAUAUCUUUCUCAAUCUUUUAAUGAUAAUUCAAAUAAUGAAACAUUAGAAACUCUUUCUAAUUUUCAUUCUGUUUUGAUCAAAUGCUUCCUGAAUUAUCAUAUGAUUAGAAUAAAUAGGAUGCUAUUUUCUCUUACUAGAAGUGAUUAAUUCCUUGUUGACCUACUCAUAAUCUUCGUAUACAAUUCAUCAUAUUCAGAAGACCUCGUACCCAACUUAUUGUCAUGAAUGAGUGUAAACCAAAACAUGGAUUCAUGUGCACAAGAUACCAUGGUGAUCUCAGGUCAUACGAUCAGUUGCACAACUCCCACUAAGAGAAUCAUCUUUUGACAUGUAAUUAAGACUUCAUAAGAUUUCUCUUUCUAAGUCAAUUCAGUGAACUCAUUUAUCUAAUGAGCACCCACAUCUUUGUAUUAGUGUCUCCACAUAAGUGAUUGUGAGAUCAAUCACCAUCUGCAUCGAGCAUACAUAAGAUGUGCCAGUCUUUCUGGUAAACAUUGAUCCCCGACUCAAUGUACCAAUGACUUGGAAUAUUUAAGAUUAGGAUUUUAAGAUUUUAGGUCUCACUAGUAUGAUCUCAUCAUAGCCUCAAAACCAUUGCCCUAAUCUAAGGAGUUUAUCACAAAUAUAAUCAACAGCAUAUGAUAAACACAAUACCUUUAUUUAUAUUUAAAUGUCAUGUACAUGAUUUGGAGAAUCAAAAGAAAAUUCUUCGCAAUACAUAUUGCGAUUGGCUUGUAGGGCAUCUACUUUUUCAAUCUCCCACUUGCACUAAAAUCGCUCUUAUAUUUCAUCCCUAUACAAUCGAGGUGGCGAUCGAACUGCUGUUGUGGUAGAGCUUUAGUGAACGAGUCUGCUAGGUUGUUCUUUGUGUUUACUCGUUCAAUCACUAUGUCUUGUCUCUCGACGAUCUCUCGAACGAGGUGGAAGCGUCUUAGAAUGUGCUUGAAUUUGUGAUGAGAUCUUGGUUCCUUCGCUUGAGCAAUAGCUCCAGUAUUAUCACAAUAAACUGGAACUGGUUCAGCAAUCUCAGGAACUACUCUUAACUCAGAGAUGAACUUCUUCAUCCAGACAGUUUCCUUACCGGCUUCACUUACAGCAAUGUAUUCUGCCUCAGUAGUUGAGUCAGCUACAGUUUGCUGUUUGGAACUCUUCCAGCUCACUACACCACCAUUUAGGGUAAAGACAUACCCUGAAAUGGACUUGCUAUCAUCUGGGUCUGNNNNNNNNNNNNNNNNNNNNGCUGUUGUGGUAGAGCUUUAGUGAACGAGUCUGCUAGGUUGUUCUUUGUGUUUACUCGUUCAAUCACUAUGUCUUGUCUCUCGACGAUCUCUCGAACGAGGUGGAAGCGUCUUAGAAUGUGCUUGGAUUUGUGAUGAGAUCUUGGUUCCUUUGCUUGAGCAACAGCUCUAGUAUUAUCACAAUAAACUGGAACUGGUUCAGCAAUCUCAGAAACUACUCUUAACUCAGAGAUGAACUUCUUCAUCCAGACAGUUUCUUUACCAGCUUCACUUACAGCAAUGUAUUCUGCCUCAGUAGUUGAGUCAGCUACAGUUUGCUGUUUGGAACUCUUCCAGCUCACUACACCACCAUUUAGGGUAAAGACAUACCCUGAAAUGGACUUGCUAUCAUCUGGGUCUGACGAAAAACUAGAAUCAGAAAAUUCUUCUAGUUUCAACUCAGAUCCUCCAUAAACUAGAAAAAUAUCUUUAGUCCUUCUCAAGUACUUAAGAAUAUUUUUCACAGCUAUCUAAUGAUCCUCUUCUGGAUCAGCCUAAAAUCUGCUUAUUAUGCCUAAGGCAUAAGCAACAUCAGGCCUAGUACAUAGCAUAGCAUACAUAAUCGAUCCUACUGCCGAAGCAUAGGGAAUAGAAUUCAUUCUAUUUCUCUCUUCAGAUGUCUUAGGAGACAUCUUCUUAGAAAGACGUAUGCCAUGACUCAUAGGUAAGUAACCUCUUUUACUUCCUUCCAUGUUGAAUCUUUUCAGCACAUGAUCUAUGUACCUAGACUGGAACAAGUCUACCAUCCUUUUAGAUCUAUCCCUAUAGAUCUUUAUACCAAGUAUAUAGGAUGCUUCUUCCAAGUCUUUCAUGGAAAAGCUUUUUUGAUAGCCAAGUCUUGACCGAUUGUAACAUUGGAAUAUCAUUUCCAAUGAUUAGUAUGUCAUCUACAUACAAUAUUAAGAAGACAAUGGCACUCCCACUAGUCUUCUUGUACACACAUGGUUCAUCCACAUUUUUGAUAAAAGCAAACUCUUGGACUGUUGUAUCAAAACGGAUGUUCCAACUCCUCAAUGCUUGCUUUAAUCCAUAAAUGGAUCUCUUAAGCUUGCAUACUUGAUUUGCUCUCCCACUUGAGACAAAUCUUUCUGGCUGUGUCAUGUAAACCUCUUCCUCAAGAUAACCAUUAAGGAAGGCGGUUUUGACAUCCAUCUGCCAGAUUUCAUAAUCAUAGUAUGCAGCUAUUGCAAGCAAAAUCCGAAUAAAUUUAAGCAUGGCAACUGAUGAAAAAAGUUNNNNNNNNNNNNNNNNNNNNNNNNNNNNNNNNNNNNNNNNNNNNNNNNNNNNNNNNNNNNNNNNNNNNNNNNNNNNNNNNNNNNNNNNNNNNNNNNNNNNNNNNNNNNNNNNNNNNNNNNNNNNNNNNNNAACCUAUAGGGUUUACACCUUCUGGUGCAUCAACCAAAGUCCAUACUUGGUUGGUAUACAUAGAGUCUAUUUCGGAUUUCAUAGCUUCUAACUAUUUGUUAGAGUCAUUACUCAUGAUAGCUUCCAAAUAGGUCAGAGGAUCAUCAUUUUCAACGAUGUGGGCUUCAUCAUUCUCAAUGAUAAACCCAUACCUCUUAGGUGCAUUUCGCACUCUAUUUGAACUUUGGAGAGGAGAUAUGUGUUAUGGUUGUACUUCAUCAAUGGGUACAUCUGGUUGAGGAAAAUCUUGUGUUUCCAUUUGUAGGUCUUGAACUUCUUCAAGUUCAAUUCUCCUAUCCUUGUCUUUUUCUAAGAUAAACUCUUUCUCUAAAAAAGUUGCAUGUCUACCUACAAAAACCUUUUGUUCGGUAGGAUGAUAGAAGAUGUGUCCUAUACUAUCUUUAGGAUAACCUACAAAAAUACAUUUAUCUGAUCUAGCACUUAGCUUGUGUCCAAAAUUUCUUUUGACAUAAGCUUUACAACCCCAUAUAUUAAGAUACUUAAGAUUAGGCUUCUUUCCUCUCCAUAUCUCAUAUGGAGUACUAGAUACACAUUUUGAUGGUACCCUAUUUAAUACAAGUGCAGCAGUUUCUAGGGCAAAACCCCAGAAGAAAAUAGGAAGAUCUGUAAAGCACAUCAUGGACCGUACCAUAUCUAAUAGAGUACGAUUUCUCCAUUCGGCUACACCAUUUAAUUGUGGCGUAUACGGAGGUGUCCAUUUAGAGAGAAUGCCUUUUUUUUUAAGAUAAUUUAAAAAAUCACUAGAAAGGUAUUCACCUCCUCGAUCAGAUCGAUGGAUUUUAAUACACUUUUCGGUUUGUUUUUCAACCAUAUUUUGAUACUCUUUAAACUUAUCAAAGGCUUCGGAUUUAUGUUUCAUAAUAUACACAUAUCCGAACCUUGAUAAAUCAUCAGUGAAUGUGAUGAAGUAAGAGUAUCCACCUUUAGCUGAAGUUGUCAUAGGACCACAUACAUCUGUAUGCACAAGUCCUAAUAACUCACUUGCCCUUUCUCCAUUCAUUGGACAUGGAGGAAUGGAGACUUAGUCAUUUUAUCCAUAAGACAAAAUUCACAAGUUUCUAUUGAUUCAUAAUCAUAAGGAUCCAAGAACUCUUCUUUGUACAACUUGUUGAUUCUUGAUUCGCUUAUGUGACCAAGUCGGCAAUGCCAAAGAAGGGUGUUAUUUACUUCUUCUCUCUUUCUUUUAUUGCUUUUAUCAAUAUGAAAGACAUUGUCAUUAAGUAAUAGAACAAAAAAACCAUUUUUCAUAAUGCCAUUGCAAUAGACUUUAUUAGAAAAAGAAAUUGAGCAACCAUUGCUCUUUACAUUAAUUUCAUAUCCUUUCUUUAACAACAAAGGAAUGAAAAUUACAUUCUAAUAAUUUUGGACAUAUAAUAAUAAUCUUCUAAUUCUAGGAGCUCUUCCGAGGGCAACUCCAAAUGGUAGAUUCCAACAGCUUUAGCCUGAAUAGACUCUCCUCCAGCACCAUAUAGCUCGAAAUCACCUUUCUUCAAACUUCUAAUUUUCUGUAGUCUAUGCAAAGAUUUGCAAAUAUGAGAACCACAGCCGGUAUCCAAUACCCAUGAAUUUAAAUUUGAAGAACUUAAUGACAAAUUGGCAUGUAACAUAAACAUACCUUUUGAUGCAACUUUUGCAUCCUGCUUUACACUUGCAAGAAAAUUUUUACAAUUCCUCUUCCAGUGACCUUCCUUGCCGCAAUGGAAAUAGGUACUUGGUUUGGAGAUUUUCUUUCCUUUCUUUUUCUUAUUGAUGCUUCCUUUAGGGUUCAACCUUUUCUUAGAACCCUUAUUGCCUGACUUUUUUCUGAAGGCACCAUCUACAAGAAGAAUUGGACCCUUCUCUUUCUUGAUGUGGCCCUCAGCUAUUUUGAGCAUGUUUAAUAGCUCAGGCAAAGAGGUAUUCAGUUUGUUCAUAUGAUAGUUCACAACAAACUGAGAGAAUGAAUCAGGUAGUGAUUGCAGGAUCAAAUCAUGAUUGAGCUCGCUGUCCAUAGCAAAACCUAACUGACUUAAUCUGGUGAUCAAGUUUCUAACCAUAAGACAAUGGUUUUGCACAGAUGUCCCUUCAUUCAUUCUAGCACGGAAUAUCUUCUUGGAUAUCUCAUAUCUAGCAGUCCUGCUUUGCUCUCCAUAUAGUUCCUUUAAAUUAAGAAGUAUGGAGAGAGUAUCCAUGCUAUCAUGUUGCCUCUGUAGCUCAUUGCUCAUGGAGGCAAGCAUGAUACAUUUGACAGUCAAACUGUCAUUCUUCCACAUCUUGUGUAUGGCAAUCUCUUCUUCAGUAGCAUCAUCCCCUAGAUCUCCAAGAUCAGAGGUUUCAAGAAUAUAGAAAAUUUUCUCCUGAGUGAGUACAAUCUUAAGAUUCCUCAACCAGUCCACAUAGUUUGGCCGGUUAACUUGUUGGCAUCUAAGAUGCCUCUUAGUGAUAGUGAAGAUGACAUUUAAUAAUUCUACAUAAGCAAGAACAAAACUACCAUAAGCAGACCAAUCAUGAUGACAUAUAUGCAAUUAGACUAGGACUUUAUCUAAUUGUUUCCUACUAUUUUAAUCGAAUAUCAUAGCCCUCUCCUAUGAUAAAUGGAAAAACUUAAUCUUUCUUAGUAGGGUUAAGAUCCUAAUUCAUCAUAAAAGUCUUGUGGUUACACAACAAACCCUUAUGAGUUCAAAGGUAGGAAACUCUUUCCAAUUACAUCUCAUGCAAUUCUCAACUUUAUCUUGUCCUCUUAAAACAUUUAUAGCCUUGUGGUUGCACAACAAACUAUAAUGUUUUAGUUAAGUCAAACCCUUCAUUUCCUUACAGUCAUAUUCAAAUAAUAUUGCUCUUGUGGUUGCACAACAAAGCAAAUAUUAAAAUAUGCCAUAAGCAUCUCUAUGCACCAAGACAGUAUAACAUCAGUCCCCAUUGCAAGCCUUGUGGUUGUACAACAAACUAGCAUUGAUCUUGACAUAAUAAUGUUGAGGCAUGAAGGAAGGCUAUUAAUAGUAUUAUAUCAACAUUAAGCUUAUCCAUAAUAGACAAUCAAACAAUUGGCCAGGUAAGCAGGUGGGAGGCUCCCCUUACUCAGAGAGUAAGGUCCUAAUUAGAGAACCACCUUUAGUGCUUUCCUUAGACACCAAUUAGAUUAAUUGUUCUAGAAUGGAUUAGCCCAAAGUUUUUUAAUACUAUGACUUAAUAUAAUUUUUAUUGAGGGCUAACUGGUCUCAUGCACAUUCUAUAAUUGUAACAUACUGAAUAUGUCUUUGUAUAUGUUACAACAAAUUAUAUAUCUAUCUCAUAGCAUAUAUAUAUCAUAACCAACUAUCAUGCAUCAUAGCUAUCUCAUAGCAUGUACAAAUCAUAAGCAAUUGAUUGAAUCAAUUAACAUGCUUCAACAUAUCUUCAUAUGGAAAAUUCAUAUCAUGACAUUUUAUUAUAUAUCAUAACAUAUAUGAAUCAUACAUUCCAGCAGUUCACUAAGCAUAUGACAUUACUAUCUCAUAGUAAACUAAUAAUCAUACAUCAUACAUAAUCAUUUGAUUGAACUAAUUAAGGAUGGCUCUGAUACCACUGAAGGGUUUUAGCAUGUUAUAAUGCGCAGCGGAAGCUAAAAAUUUUAAAAAUUUUUUAAUAAAGUUUCUUAACAUUAAACCUUUAUAAGCCUAGAUCACCUUAAUAGAAGCAAUCAAAUAAUAUAAUAUAAAUGCAGAAACAGAAGAAUACCUCUAACGCUAAUCUAAUGUGCAGAAUUUUUACUAGGUGCCCAAAUGUUCACCCUCCAACGUUGAUCCAAAGACUUAAUCACCUUAAAACUUAAUUCAAGUCUUAAGCUCCAAAGACUUUGAUCCUUAAUGCAGAAUUCUUCUAAAGAACUCUAAUGGCUUGCUUUCCUUCCUUUCUAUUUUUCUUUCACCUUCUAAAAUCACUUUUAAUCCUUUUGUCCUAAAGAAGACUACCUUGUCUUGGAUUAGGACACCCUAGAAGCAAUGCUAGAAAGAGACAAAGCCUUGUAAGAAAGAAGGGAUAAGGGAGAGAGAAUGCGGUGGAGUUGGAAUAAUGAAACCCAUGGAGCGCUAGCCUAUUUAUAAUAGGCAUAGGGAUGCAUCUUCAAGGGAUGCAUCCCAUCCACACAUCCUUUUAUGAAAGGGCAUCAUCUNNNNNNNNNNNNNNNNNNNNNNNNNNNNNNNNNNNNNNNNNNNNNNNNNNNNNNNNNNNNNNNNNNNNNNNNNNNNNNNNNNNNNNNNNNNNNNNNNNNNNNNNNNNNNNNNNNNNNNNACCCAUUAUGUCUUUAUCCAAUGGUGGAAUUAAGAUCCAAUGGUCAAUUAUGAUAGCCAUCCUCUAACCCAAUCCAAUUGGGUUAAACCAACUCUCCAUUAUGUCUUCAUCCAACAGUAGAUCAAGAUCUAGCGGUCUAGAUUGAAUGAUUUAUCAAAUCUAAUCCAAUUAGACUCAAACCAAGCCAAUUUGGUGCCAACUCUUGGCUAACCCAUAUUAGAACAUGAACUAAUCAAAUUAGAUCAAUUAAGAAUCAAAUUCGAAUCCAAUUCGAAUCAGAUUCGAAUCCAAUUCGAAUCAGAUUCGAAUCCAAUUCGAAUCAGGAGCUAAGGGUUUGCAACACCUGCUAGGAUAUUUAUCUUGCAAACAUGAUCUAAUCCAAUUUGACCCUUGAUAAGUUUUCUUGUGUGUGACCCCUUGGGUUCCAUACUUAGCCAGCAAUAGGUGUGAGUGCGAGUUGACCCAACUUGAUUAGAACUCUUCUAAUUGAUUUAAGUCCAAACUGCGCGAACCCGAACUUAACAAUUAGAAUCCUUUCUAAUUGGUGAUCGAAUUAAACUCUUUAAUUCGAUCAAACCUAUAAGACAAGAUUGACGUCUAGCAACGUGUCAUGUCUAUCCGAAAAAUAUGAAAUUUGGUAGAAAUACCAAAAAUACCCUUCAGUGGCAAGUUACCAUGCAAUUCAAUCCUUUAAUUAAACUGCAUUCCGAAUAUGUAUAUGAGUAUGAAUAUAUGUCAAACUCAAUUUCAUAUUCAUAUCUUUCUCAAUCUUUUAAUGAUAAUUCAAGUAACGAAACAUUAGAAACUCUUUCUAAUUUUCAUUCUGCUUUGAUCAAAGGCUUUCUGAAUUAUCAUAUGAUUAGAAUAAAUAGGAUGUUAUCUUCUCUUACUAGAAGUGAUUAAUUCCUUAUUGACCUACUCAUAAUCUUCGUACACAAUUCACCAUAUCCAGAAGACCUCGUACACAACUUAUUGUUAUGAAUGAGUGUAAACCAAGACAUGGAUUCAUGUGCACAAGAUACCAUGGUGAUCUCAGGUCAUAGGAUCAGUUGCACAACUUCCACGAAGAGAAU
This 8155-nucleotide long non-coding RNA is filed under the name Phoenix dactylifera (date palm). Its description in RNAcentral is "long non-coding RNA (PDAC_LNC005948)". Lineage: Eukaryota; Viridiplantae; Streptophyta; Magnoliopsida; Arecales; Arecaceae. The record is from RNAcentral.